CGAACGCUGGCGGCGUGCCUAAUACAUGCAAGUAGAACGCACAGUUUAUACCGUAGCUUGCUACACCAUAAACUGUGAGUUGCGAACGGGUGAGUAACGCGUAGGUAACCUGCCUGGUAGCGGGGGAUAACUAUUGGAAACGAUAGCUAAUACCGCAUAAUAUUGAUUAUUGCAUGAUAAUUGAUUGAAAGAUGCUAUUGCAUCACUACCAGAUGGACCUGCGUUGUAUUAGCUAGUAGGUGAGGUAACGGCUCACCUAGGCGACGAUACAUAGCCGACCUGAGAGGGUGAUCGGCCACACUGGGACUGAGACACGGCCCAGACUCCUACGGGAGGCAGCAGUAGGGAAUCUUCGGCAAUGGACGAAAGUCUGACCGAGCAACGCCGUGUGAGUGAAGAAGGUUUUCGGAUCGUAAAGCUCUGUUGUAAGAGAAGAACGGGUGUGAGAGUGGAAAGUUCACACUGUGACGGUAUCUUACCAGAAAGGGACGGCUAACUACGUG
RNAcentral lists this ribosomal RNA (503 nucleotides) under uncultured bacterium. RNAcentral's name for it is "partial 16S ribosomal RNA". It matches the Rfam family "Bacterial small subunit ribosomal RNA", at positions 30 to 507 of the family's 1533-position model. The record is from RNAcentral.